GUGUGAGAGAAACUCUUCCUCUUCUCUUCGUCGAUAGCUUCUCUCUAUGUCCAUGAUUUUUCAUUAGCUUGUCUUCUUUGCCUUCGAGCUACCGUUCUCAUCUGUAUAGACGCAACCAAAGACCAAACCCAAGGCAAAAUCGGAUCAAUCGUAGCAAUCGGAGGAAGCGAAAUCACAAUACCACCACCAAAAAUGACUUGUUCAUCGGAAUCAAACACACUCAGUAUCAUUCUAUUAUUGUCAGAUUGUGACUGAUUUUGGUUUCCGUUUGUUUUUCCCAGAGACAGAUGCUGGUUCACUUUCUGGAUUUUCAACCAAAAGCCUUUCUAAUUUGAAUUCUCCCGUUCUCUUCAGGAGCUGAAACGGAGACAUCACAUGUAUAUAACUCAGUUUUCCUCAUGACUUGUGAAGUUCUUGGUUCCUCUUCCUCUGAUCCUUCUAAUAGCUUGUGUUUGGUUGUUCAACAAAAAACUGCUUCUUGCUUGUGUUUGACAACUGUCACGAACGAAGACAAGCUUGAGUUCAGCAAGAUCCUUGAGGCAUGGCAAUUGUUAUUGGUCUCUGCAUAUGCGUUAUGACUCUUAUGAAGAAAUAGAGAGUUCACACAAAGCCAAAGGCUCUAAGGUCAUCUGCUGAUGGAAUGGCGUUGGCUGUUAAAUGGUAUGAGUUGGCGAUUUACUAGAGCUGCUUCGGUUUCUUUAUGACUUGGUUUGGUGAAGAAAUGUACUUGUCUUUUUUUUUUAUGACUUUGUUUGGUAAUUCAAACAUUUGUAUUCUUUUGGGUAUUUGAUAGAAUAAUUCUAUGUAAAAUGUAUG
This is a non-coding RNA of Camelina sativa (false flax), 816 nucleotides long. The record is from RefSeq and is a predicted model, not a curated record. Lineage: Eukaryota; Viridiplantae; Streptophyta; Magnoliopsida; Brassicales; Brassicaceae.